UAUUACCCUAAACCCUACUGCCCCAAACCCUCCCCCAUUUCGUUCACGCUUUCUGUGCUUCUCUAUCAACACCACCAACUAGAGAGAGAGAGAGAGAGACAAUGGCUUGGCGUGGUUCGCUUUCCAGAUCGGUGAUCGCCACCGCUAGGUCUUCAACCCUCCGCUCAUCGCCGCCUCUCCCCCGCCUCCGUCCUCCGCCGCUCUCCGCCCCUCGCCUCCAACCUCGCCGCCUCUCCUUCACCAAUCCCAGGAAUUUGGGAGAAUUAGGCUGUGUGCAAUCGCUCAUGCCGCUUGUCGCCGGAGCACGCCUCACAUCGCACCUGGCCGUUAACGUGCGGGCUUGUUGCGAGCUGUAUCAUGGUACCUUCUGCCGUACUUGUCAGGAUCGCUAGUAGUCUCUUUGGAUGAAUGGAAAAGAUGGGUGAUGCGCAGCGGUCAGUGGUCAAAAGGCAGAGCAAUGAUGCCACAUUGUACUUGAGCAGAUUGUUGGAUCAGCACAGUGGGUGCUAAAAUUAUUUGAGGCAGGCAGUUAUAACAGCUAGGUGGGUCCGGUGGGAACUUUGCUUUUGAAGUAGGAAAAACUAAUAGUGUAUAUGUUUUCUGCUCUGUUUUAUCUGGAAAUGAACUUGAAAACUCCAAAUUUUUGUGACAAAUCCAACAAACGAAGGUCGAACUAUGCUAAUGCCUUCAUUAUGAUGAUUCAUAUUUUUAGUUUGUGAUUUGUAAUGCUCUUUCCGCUUUUUGAUUGUUAAACCUACAUGUUUUAGCAUUGUUCUUGUUGGAUUCAAAAAUUCAUUCCUUUAA
This is an RNA transcript of Camellia sinensis, 804 nucleotides long. It is a transcript of the gene named caspase-6 protein, with no coding region annotated. NCBI's taxonomy places the organism in Eukaryota, Viridiplantae, Streptophyta, Magnoliopsida, Ericales, Theaceae. The record is from RefSeq and is a predicted model, not a curated record.